Molecule: long non-coding RNA, 263 nt
Filed under: Gossypium barbadense (sea-island cotton)
Lineage: Eukaryota; Viridiplantae; Streptophyta; Magnoliopsida; Malvales; Malvaceae
Description: long non-coding RNA (GBAR_LNC020852)
Source: RNAcentral
UUUCUAUCCCUCACUUUCAACUAAUUUGCGUGGACUCUUUGCUCCAAAUAUCCUCAUCCUUGUCAAUCUUGAGAUUUAAAUGAACCAUUGUAUCAAUGAUCUUUAUAAGACUCUUAUCAUUAACAUUUGCCCUUAUAAACUCUUCUAACUCCAUUGUCAACUUCGUUUUGAGACCUUUUAUUUUUAACUUAAUCGAACGAACUCAAUCCACCAAUCCCUUUUUUAGGGCCUCCAAUUUAAUCAAUAAAUCACUAGAAGUAGAC